AAAACAUGGCUCCUUGAAACCUAAUUAUAGGGAGUCGGACCUGCCCAGUGAAUUUUUAACGGCCGCGGUACUCUGACCGUGCAAAGGUAGCAUAAUCAUUUGCCUUAUAAUUGAAGGCUAGUAUGAAUGGUUUGACAUGAAUGUAGCUGUCUCUUUAUAAUUUAGUAGAAUUUUAUUUUCAGGUGAAGAAGCCUGUAUUUAAUUAAAAGACAAGAAGACCCUAUCGAGCUUGAAAAGAAUUAAUAGAAUUAGAAUUAAUGUAGCUAAAAAAUUGUCUAUUAUAUAUUUUAGUUGGGGCGACUAAGGAACAUAAAAAGCUUCCUUUAUAAAUUGUUUAAAUCAAACUAGAAUUGAUCCAAAAUAUUUUGAUUAAAGGAAUUAGUUACCGUAGGGAUAACAGCAUUAUCUUUUUUAAGAGCUCAUAUCGAAAAAAAGGUUUGUGACCUCGAUGUUGGACCAGAAUAUCCUAAAGAUGCAGCAGUCUUUAAGGGUUGGUCUGUUCGACCAUUAAAAUUCUACGUGA
RNAcentral lists this ribosomal RNA (523 nucleotides) under Tritia grana. Its description in RNAcentral is "partial 16S ribosomal RNA". It matches the Rfam family "Bacterial large subunit ribosomal RNA", at positions 1810 to 2603 of the family's 2925-position model. The record is from RNAcentral. Lineage: Eukaryota; Metazoa; Mollusca; Gastropoda; Neogastropoda; Nassariidae.